UGGGAUGUGGCUCAACUGGUAGCGUGCUCGCCUGGCAUGCGUGAGGCACUGGGUUCGAUCCUCAGCACCACAU
This 73-nucleotide transfer RNA is filed under the name Marmota marmota marmota (Alpine marmot). It matches the Rfam family "tRNA". From Rfam's summary of the family: Transfer RNA (tRNA) molecules are approximately 80 nucleotides in length. Their secondary structure includes four short double-helical elements and three loops (D, anti-codon, and T loops). Further hydrogen bonds mediate the characteristic L-shaped molecular structure. tRNAs have two regions of fundamental functional importance: the anti-codon, which is responsible for specific mRNA codon recognition, and the 3' end, to which the tRNAs corresponding amino acid is attached (by aminoacyl-tRNA synthetases). tRNAs cope with the degeneracy of the genetic code in two manners: having more than one tRNA (with a specific anti-codon) for a particular amino acid; and 'wobble' base-pairing, i.e. permitting non-standard base-pairing at the 3rd anti-codon position. RNAcentral also lists the same sequence under 2 other names. Lineage: Eukaryota; Metazoa; Chordata; Mammalia; Rodentia; Sciuridae. The record is from Rfam by way of RNAcentral.